Molecule: ribosomal RNA, 420 nt
Filed under: uncultured bacterium
Lineage: Bacteria
Description: bacterial SSU rRNA
Rfam family: Bacterial small subunit ribosomal RNA
Source: RNAcentral
UAAGGAAUAUUGCUCAAUGGGAGAAAUCCUGAAGCAGCAACGCCGCGUGGAGGAUGAAGGGUCUAUGACUUGUAAACUCCUGUAAAGAAGGAAAAAAUUCCCAUUUGAUGGGAGAUGAUGGUACUUCUGGAGUAAGCCCCGGCUAACUACGUGCCAGCAGCCGCGGUAAUACGUAGGGGGCAAGCGUUGUCCGGAUUUACUGGGUGUAAGGGGUGCUCAGGCGGAUUUGUAAGUCAGAGGUGAAAUCUUACAGCUUAACUGUGAAACUGCCUUUGAUACUGCAAGCCUAGAGUAUGGAAGAGAGUGAUGGAAUAUCUGGUGUAGCAGUGAAAUGCGUAGAUAUCAGAUAGAACACCAAUGGCGAAGGCAGUCACUUGGUCCAUUACUGACGCUAAAGCACGAAAGCGUGGGUAGCAAACA